CGGCGAGUGACCGGGAAGAGCUCAAAUUUGAAAUCUGGCGUGCUCAGUGCGUCCGAGGUGUCUCUAUAGAGUUUUUUCUUGCCGGACUGUGUCCUCCCCCCUUGGAACAGGUUAUCGAGGAUGGUGAUAAUCCCGUACUUGACACAAUGACCGGUGCUCUGUGAUACGUCUUCUACGAGUCGAGUUGUUUGGGAAUGCAGCUCAAAAUGGGUGGUGAUGCCCAUCUAAAGCUAAAUAUUGGCGAGAGACCGAUAGCGAACAAGUACCGUGAGGGAAAGAUGAAAAGCACUUUGGAAAGAGAGUUAAACAGUACGUGAAAUUGUUAAAGGGGAAACGAUUGAAGUCAGUCGUGACUGCUGAGGAUCAGCCGGGUCUGCCCUUGUAUUCCCCUCCAUCGGGUCAACAUCAGUUUUGUUCGGUGGAUAAGGGCAGUUGGAAGGUGGCACCCCCCCCCUGUGUGGUGUGUUAUUCCUCCUACAUCAUAUGCGACCGAGAAAUGAGGAUCGCAUUUACUCCGGGGUCCUUCCUUCGCUAUCCUAUUAUGUUGACGUAAUGGCUUAAUGCUACU
Molecule: ribosomal RNA, 568 nt
Filed under: uncultured Cryptococcus
Lineage: Eukaryota; Fungi; Basidiomycota; Tremellomycetes
Description: eukaryotic LSU rRNA
Rfam family: Eukaryotic large subunit ribosomal RNA
Source: RNAcentral